RNAcentral lists this ribosomal RNA (428 nucleotides) under Chloroflexota bacterium. RNAcentral's name for it is "Chloroflexi bacterium partial 16S ribosomal RNA". It matches the Rfam family "Bacterial small subunit ribosomal RNA", at positions 355 to 776 of the family's 1533-position model. Lineage: Bacteria; Bacillati; Chloroflexota. The record is from RNAcentral.
UGGGGAAUAUUGCACAAUGGGCGCAAGCCUGAUGCAGCCAUGCCGCGUGUAUGAAGAAGGCCUUCGGGUUGUAAAGUACUUUCAGCGGGGAGGAAGGGAGUAAAGUUAAUAUCUUUGCUCAUUGACGUUACCCGCAGAAGAAGCACCGGCUAACUCCGUGCCAGCAGCCGCGGUAAUACGGAGGGUGCAAGCGUUAAUCGGAAUUACUGGGCGUAAAGCGCACGCAGGCGGUUUGUUAAGUCAGAUGUGAAAUCCCCGGGCUCAACCUGGGAACUGCAUCUGAUACGGGCAAGCUUGAGUCUCGUAGAGGGGGGUAGAAUUCCAGGUGUAGCGGUGAAUGCGUAGAGAUCUGGAGGAAUAACGGUGGCGAAGGCGGCCACCUGGACGAAGACUGACGCUCAGGUGCGAAAGCGUGGGGAGCAAACAGG